CAAGGCUAAAACUCAAAGGAAUUGACGGGGGCCCGCACAAGCGGCGGAGCAUGCGGAUUAAUUCGAUGCAACGCGAAGAACCUUACCAAGGCUUGACAUAUACGAGAACGGGCCAGAAAUGGUCAACUCUUUGGACACUCGUAUACAGGUGGUGCAUGGUUGUCGUCAGCUCGUGUCGUGAGAUGUUGGGUUAAGUCCCGCAACGAGCGCAACCCUCGUUCUAUGUUGCCAGCACGUUAUGGUGGGAACUCAUAGGAGACUGCCGGGGUCAACUCGGAGGAAGGUGGGGAUGACGUCAAAUCAUCAUGCCCCUUAUGUCUUGGGCUUCACGCAUGCUACAAUGGCCGGUACAAUGGGCUGCAAUACCGUGAGGUGGAGCGAAUCCCAAAAAGCCGGUCUCAGUUCGGAUUGAGGUCUGCAACUCGACCUCAUGAAGUCGGAGUCGCUAGUAAUCGCAGAUCAGCAACGCUGCGGUGAAUACGUUCCCGGGCCUUGUACACACCGCCCGUCAAGUCAUGAAAGUCGGUAACACCCGAAGCCGGUGGCCCAACCCUUGUGGAGGGAGCCGUCGAAGGUGGGAUCGGUGAUUAGGACUUUU
This 598-nucleotide ribosomal RNA is filed under the name Leifsonia sp. ODP61203by2. RNAcentral describes it as "SSU rRNA". It matches the Rfam family "Bacterial small subunit ribosomal RNA", at positions 889 to 1485 of the family's 1533-position model. Lineage: Bacteria; Bacillati; Actinomycetota; Actinomycetes; Micrococcales; Microbacteriaceae. The record is from RNAcentral.